AUUGAACGCUGGCGGCAUGCUUUACACAUGCAAGUCGAACGGCAGCGCGGGCUUCGGCCUGGCGGCGAGUGGCGAACGGGUGAGUAAUACAUCGGAACGUGCCCAGUAGUGGGGGAUAGCUCGGCGAAAGACGGAUUAAUACCGCAUACGACCUGAGGGUGAAAGCGGGGGAUCUUCGGACCUCGCGCUAUUGGAGCGGCCGAUGGCAGAUUAGCUAGUUGGUGGGGUAAAGGCCUACCAAGGCGACGAUCUGUAGCUGGUCUGAGAGGACGACCAGCCACACUGGGACUGGGCCACGGCCCAGCCUCCUACGGGAGGCAGCAGUGGGGAAUUUUGGACAAUGGGCGAAAUCCUGAUCCAGCAAUGCCGCGUGUGUGAUGAAGGCCUUCGGGUUGUAAAGCACUUUUGGCGGGAACGAAAAGGACUGUGCCAAUACCACGGUUCGAUGACGGUACCCGCAGAAUAAGCACCGGCUAACUACGUG
Molecule: ribosomal RNA, 484 nt
Filed under: uncultured bacterium
Lineage: Bacteria
Description: partial 16S ribosomal RNA
Rfam family: Bacterial small subunit ribosomal RNA
Source: RNAcentral